Molecule: ribosomal RNA, 245 nt
Filed under: uncultured beta proteobacterium
Lineage: Bacteria; Pseudomonadati; Pseudomonadota; Betaproteobacteria
Description: partial 16S ribosomal RNA
Rfam family: Bacterial small subunit ribosomal RNA
Source: RNAcentral
CACGCCCUAAACGAUGUCAACUGGUUGUUGGGUCUUCAUUGACUUAGUAACGAAGCUAACGCGUGAAGUUGACCGCCUGGGGAGUACGGUCGCAAGAUUAAAACUCAAAUGAAUUGACGGGGACCCGCACAAGCGGUGGAUGAUGUGGAUUAAUUCGAUGCAACGCGAAAAACCUUACCUACCCUUGACAUGUAGCGAACUUUCCAGAGAUGGAUUGGUGCCUUCGGGAACGCUAACACAGGUGC